RNAcentral lists this small nuclear RNA (237 nucleotides) under Chlamydomonas euryale. RNAcentral's name for it is "partial Dictyostelium signal recognition particle". Lineage: Eukaryota; Viridiplantae; Chlorophyta; Chlorophyceae; Chlamydomonadales; Chlamydomonadaceae. The record is from RNAcentral.
UGGCAGCGACUACCCGCGUCCAAUCGUCGACCAUGGGAAUGCGAGCAAGGCCUGCAUCAGUCGCAUUGCUGCUGCUUACCGUGCGGGCAAGGACGCAGCUGGUGAUGACGGCGACGCAGGCGGCAGUGGCGCCAAGACUCCGGCAACCAAGCCACGGUCUUCGGGCAAGGCAAAGGCUGAGCCAGCACAAGGCAAAGGCAGUGGCAGAGCAUCCAAGGGGAAGCCCGUCGCUGGCGC